This 497-nucleotide ribosomal RNA is filed under the name uncultured bacterium. RNAcentral describes it as "partial 16S ribosomal RNA". It matches the Rfam family "Bacterial small subunit ribosomal RNA", at positions 28 to 507 of the family's 1533-position model. The record is from RNAcentral.
GAUGAACGCUGGCGGCGUGCCUAAUACAUGCAAGUCGAGCGAACAGACGAGGAGCUUGCUCCUCUGACGUUAGCGGCGGACGGGUGAGUAACACGUGGAUAACCCACCUAUAAGACUGGGAUAACUUCGGGAAACCGGAGCUAAUACCGGAUAAUAUAUUGAACCGCAUGGUUCAAUAGUGAAAGACGGUUUUGCUGUCACUUAUAGAUGGAUCCGCGCCGCAUUAGCUAGUUGGUAAGGUAACGGCUUACCAAGGCAACGAUGCGUAGCCGACCGGAGAGGGUGAUCGGCCGCACUGGAAGUGAGACACGGUCCAGGCUCCUACGGGAGGGCGCAGUAGGGAAUCGGCCGCAAUGGGCGAGAACCUGACGGAACAGCGCGGAGUGAAUGAUGAAGGUCUUCGGAUCGGAAAGCUCUGUUAUUGGGGGAGAACAAAUGUGUAAGGAACUAUACACGUCUUGACGGUAACUAGUCAGAAAGCCACGGCUAACUACGUG